GGCUUAAAUAUGGAAAUGGUCCCUGUAAAUAUCUGGCAUUUUGGAUUUAGUCCCUAUAAAAAUAUUUUUUUGGUUUUAGUCCAUGCAAAUAUAGAAUAUUUGGUUUUGGUCCUUGGUAUUUUGUUUUAAUCCUUGUAAAAUCAUUUCAUAUUGAAAUUGGUCCCUAUAAUAUUCAUUUUAGUCCUCAUUUUGAAGGACUAAAAUCAAAUAUUCUACAUAUUACAAGGACCAAAUCCAAUAUGAAUCAAUUUUACAAGGACUAAAAUAAAAUACCAAGG
This 278-nucleotide long non-coding RNA is filed under the name Medicago truncatula (barrel medic). RNAcentral's name for it is "lncRNA gene25377". The stretch from base 81 to 278 matches the Rfam family "MIR2630 microRNA precursor family", at positions 1 to 198 of the family's 229-position model. The record is from RNAcentral. Lineage: Eukaryota; Viridiplantae; Streptophyta; Magnoliopsida; Fabales; Fabaceae.